CUCCUACGGGAGGCAGCAGCAGGGAAUAUUGCACAAUGGGCGAAAGCCUGAUGCAGCGACGCCGCGUGGGGGAUGAAUGCCUUCGGGUUGUAAACCCCUUUCAGGAGGGACGAAGCGAAAGUGACGGUACCUCCAGAAGAAGCCCCGGCCAACUACGUGCCAGCAGCCGCGGUAAUACGUAGGGGGCGAGCGUUGUCCGGAUUUAUUGGGCGUAAAGAGCUCGUAGGCGGCUCAGCAAGUCGGCCGUGAAAGCCCAGGGCUCAACCCUGGGACGCCGGUCGAAACUGCUGUGGCUAGGGUCCGGUAGAGGAGAGUGGAAUUCCCGGUGUAGCGGUGAAAUGCGCAGAUAUCGGGAGGAACACCAGUAGCGAAGGCGGCUCUCUGGGCCGGUACCGACGCUGAGGAGCGAAAGCUAGGGGAGCAAACAGGAUUAGAUACCCUGGUAGUCCUAGCCGUAAACGUUGGACACUAGGUGUGGCGGAUUCAUUGACGUCUGCCGUGCCGAAGCUAACGCAUUAAGUGUCCCGCCUGGGGAGUACGGUCGCAAGGCUAAAACUCAAAGGAAUUGACGG
RNAcentral lists this ribosomal RNA (572 nucleotides) under uncultured bacterium. RNAcentral describes it as "bacterial SSU rRNA". It matches the Rfam family "Bacterial small subunit ribosomal RNA", at positions 336 to 916 of the family's 1533-position model. The record is from RNAcentral.